GUCCGAAGUCGUCCAGAGGAUCGUUCGCGUCGAUCCCGAACAGCGGGUUUGGGACUCUCUGGGAUCCUUUCUCGAGGUAAGCAGAUUCACUUUCUUCCUUUCCCUCGCUCCUUCAUUUAAUUAACUUCUCAGCUUUCAUUCUGACCUUCUGGCCGCCCUUGCAGAUCGGGCACCAGCUCCUCGCCAACAUCAAGGCGAUGAACAAGGCGAGG
This 212-nucleotide long non-coding RNA is filed under the name Elaeis guineensis (African oil palm). Its description in RNAcentral is "long non-coding RNA (EGUI_LNC080347)". The record is from RNAcentral. Lineage: Eukaryota; Viridiplantae; Streptophyta; Magnoliopsida; Arecales; Arecaceae.